This 72-nucleotide transfer RNA is filed under the name Bos taurus (domestic cattle). It matches the Rfam family "tRNA". From Rfam's summary of the family: Transfer RNA (tRNA) molecules are approximately 80 nucleotides in length. The record is from Rfam by way of RNAcentral. Lineage: Eukaryota; Metazoa; Chordata; Mammalia; Artiodactyla; Bovidae. RNAcentral also lists the same sequence under 5 other names.
UCCCUGGUGGCUCAGAUGGUAAGGAGUCUGCCUGCAAAGCAGGAGACCCAGGUUCGAUCCCUGGAUUGAGAA